RNAcentral lists this ribosomal RNA (460 nucleotides) under uncultured bacterium. RNAcentral's name for it is "partial 16S ribosomal RNA". It matches the Rfam family "Bacterial small subunit ribosomal RNA", at positions 338 to 795 of the family's 1533-position model. The record is from RNAcentral.
CCUACGGGAGGCAGCAGUGAGGAAUAUUGGUCAAUGGACGAGAGUCUGAACCAGCCAAGUAGCGUGAAGGAUGACUGCCCUAUGGGUUGUAAACUUCUUUUAUAUGGGAAUAAAAUGGUCCACGUGUGGGCUUUUGUAUGUACCAUAUGAAUAAGGAUCGGCUAACUCCGUGCCAGCAGCCGCGGUAAUACGGAGGAUCCGAGCGUUAUCCGGAUUUAUUGGGUUUAAAGGGAGCGUAGGUGGAUUGUUAAGUCAGUUGUGAAAGUUUGCGGCUCAACCGUAAAAUUGCAGUUGAAACUGGCAGUCUUGAGUACAGUAGAGGUGGGCGGAAUUCGUGGUGUAGCGGUGAAAUGCUUAGAUAUCACGAAGAACUCCGAUUGCGAAGGCAGCUCACUGGACUGCAACUGACACUGAGGCUCGAAAGUGUGGGUAUCAAACAGGAUUAGAUACCCGAGUAGUC